GAUGAAGAACGGUAGCGAAAUGCGAUAAGUAGUGUGAAUUGCAGAAUUCAGUGAAUCAUCGAAUCUUUGAACGCACAUUGCGCCCCUUGGUAUUCCAUGGGGCAUGCCUGUUCGAGCGUCAUUUGUACCUUCAAGCUUUGCUUGGUGUUGGGUGUUUGUCCUCUCCUUAAGGAGCGGGACUCGCCUCAAAGUUAUUGGCAGCUAGUAUUUUGGUGUUGAAGCGCAGCACAUGUCGCGAAUCAAGCCCGAGUAUUAGCUUCCAUUAAGCCAUAUUUAUCACUUUUGACCUCGGAUCAGGUAGGGAUACCCGCUGAACUUAAGCAUAUCAAUAAGCGGGAGGA
Molecule: unclassified non-coding RNA, 341 nt
Filed under: soil metagenome
Description: partial contains 5.8S ribosomal RNA, internal transcribed spacer 2, and large subunit ribosomal RNA
Rfam family: 5.8S ribosomal RNA (bases 1-121)
Source: RNAcentral